This 587-nucleotide ribosomal RNA is filed under the name uncultured bacterium. Its description in RNAcentral is "bacterial SSU rRNA". It matches the Rfam family "Bacterial small subunit ribosomal RNA", at positions 796 to 1383 of the family's 1533-position model. The record is from RNAcentral.
CACGCNGUAAACGAUGAGUGCUAGGUGUUAGACCCUUUCCGGGGUUUAGUGCCGCAGCUAACGCAUUAAGCACUCCGCCUGGGGAGUACGACCGCAAGGUUGAAACUCAAAGGAAUUGACGGGGGCCCGCACAAGCGGUGGAGCAUGUGGUUUAAUUCGAAGCAACGCGAAGAACCUUACCAGGUCUUGACAUCCCUCUGACCGCUCUAGAGAUAGAGUUUUCCUUCGGGACAGAGGUGACAGGUGGUGCAUGGUUGUCGUCAGCUCGUGUCGUGAGAUGUUGGGUUAAGUCNNNNNACGAGCGCAACCCCUAUUGUUAGUUGCCAUCAUUCAGUUGGGCACUCUAGCGAGACUGCCGGUAAUAAACCGGAGGAAGGUGGGGAUGACGUCAAAUCAUCAUGCCCCUUAUGACCUGGGCUACACACGUGCUACAAUGGCUGGUACAACGAGUCGCAAGCCGGUGACGGCAAGCUAAUCUCUUAAAGCCAGUCUCAGUUCGGAUUGUAGGCUGCAACUCGCCUACAUGAAGUCGGAAUCGCUAGUAAUCGCGGAUCAGCACGCCGCGGUGAAUACGUUCCCGGGCCUNG